GACUAUAUAUAUUUUAAAACAAAUAAGUAUCACAAUACACGAAGGAAAUACCAGCAUUGAAGGUACACUGGCACAGGGACCAAACUUUUGAGGUUAUACUUUUGGCGCGUUAGGAAAAAAUGCUGUCACAAAAAGCCCAUGUCGGGGAGCCCAUAGGCUUUCAGCUUUGAAAGCAGAGGUCUGUGCCCUACCCGAUCGAAGGCUUUCGCUAUGUGCGAAGUUAGCUCCUCCCGUUGAACACAACUGCCUCUGCCACCUAUGUGUAAGGUGACCUCUCUUUCCAUUUCCUGUUGGCCCCUUCCACCUUGUUACCCUGACUCCAUUGCCAUUGUCCAUCCUAGCGGUAUGGCCAGCCAACUUCCACUUAAGUUUAUUGCAAUGUGUAUAGAUUGUUAAAACAAAUGAAUCAUUGUUAAAACCACCAAACACAUUGCUCCACUAAGAAAAGUGUUUUGGAACAUUUAAGGGUUUAAAACUGUAUGAACGACCCGUAAACAGUUUUUAGGUUGGUAAGGUGCAAUCUAUAAUUUAUAAGGCUGAAAAUUACAUUUGUUUUAAACUUAUUUUUCUGUUGUAUUGUCCAUUUAUCGACGGAAUUAUACAUAAAUUGACAAUGAAAUUAAAGAAAAUUAAAUAU
This is a long non-coding RNA of Pieris brassicae (large cabbage white), 637 nucleotides long. RefSeq lists it as uncharacterized. The record is from RefSeq and is a predicted model, not a curated record. NCBI's taxonomy places the organism in Eukaryota, Metazoa, Arthropoda, Insecta, Lepidoptera, Pieridae. The transcript is spliced from 2 exons.